Molecule: long non-coding RNA, 471 nt
Organism: Amblyraja radiata (thorny skate)
Lineage: Eukaryota; Metazoa; Chordata; Chondrichthyes; Rajiformes; Rajidae
Exons: 2
Source: RefSeq, a predicted model, not a curated record
UGUUCCUAUAAAAUAUAAAAAUCAAUCUAAAUUUUCUGAAAUAUAUACAACUUCCACACCAGCUGAGUGCAAAUUGAAAAUGGUCAAGGAAUGGUGAUGUGUUUUUCUGUAUUCCUACUUCAAGAUACACUUCCAGGGAGCCAACUGCUUGGUUUCUAAUGCCAUGUUCUUAGCCAAGUUUCAUAUCAAAACUUGUCAACACUGAAACAAACUAUUUCACCUGUUUUGCACCUUUUAAGUUUACUUCUCUUGUUCAUUUCCCUUUAAAAUCAAAGUCUUAGCAUUCAGAGACGUUAAAUGCUUUCAGAUUCUUCAGCCCCACCCCGUAUCUCCUGCUCAAAACCCUACAUGUGGCUUUGUAUAACGAGGUAAUGGAAACUGCUUUUCUUUGCCUCCUUUCCCAAACCAGAAUCUAUCAAAUCUUUUGUUCCAUGGGAGAACAACCCAGCUUCCUCAACCUAAAAGUAGUGG